This 380-nucleotide long non-coding RNA is filed under the name Carica papaya (papaya). Its description in RNAcentral is "long non-coding RNA (CPAP_LNC005390)". Lineage: Eukaryota; Viridiplantae; Streptophyta; Magnoliopsida; Brassicales; Caricaceae. The record is from RNAcentral.
CAAUAUUCAACAUUGUCAACUAACUGGUUAUCCCCAUGCCCCGUAUGGUAUGAACGCCAAAAAUAUCAUCCCUCAAUACUCCGUCCGAUAUACGGGUGAAUUGGGUCGUCUCCAUACUCCAUCUGGUAUGAGCGCCAAAAAUACUAAUCUUCGAUAUCUCGUCCGGUAUGAAGUAAUAUUUACGAUAGGGUUCUCUAUGUACCCGAUCUGUCCACCAUCUUCCAAGAUAUCCAGUUAGGCUACCAUUCAUUACUUCACAUGACCAAUCAAUUUUUCGUUUGUAUAUUAAUUACCAAUUUCAUAAAUCACCCAUAAAUCACGCAAGACGAGCAAUAUAUAUAUUAAGGAAGCACAAUUGAAUAAAUUAACCACUCAAGUAU